Molecule: unclassified non-coding RNA, 1091 nt
Filed under: Pomacea canaliculata
Lineage: Eukaryota; Metazoa; Mollusca; Gastropoda; Architaenioglossa; Ampullariidae
Description: 6-phosphogluconolactonase-like, transcript variant X1
Source: RNAcentral
UUGGUGUGGAGAGUACAAACAUGGCGACGCCGGUUGUACAUGUGAAAGAAUCAGAGGAUGAUGUCUCCAAUAGCCUUUGUGAACUUGUGAUCAGCAGAGCUUCAGCAGCAAUCAAAACUAAGGGUUUAUUUGUUAUUGGGGUAUCUGGUGGAAGUGCUGCAAAAUUUCUUUGCAAUGGUUUGCCCUCUGCUGUUACUGAAUGGGAUAAAUGGCGUGUAUUUUUCUGUGAUGAGCGCUAUGUGCCUUUUGAUGAUCCAGAGUGCACCUACACAGUCUACAAAAAUGGACUGCUGUCAAAAGUGCCUGCUCUUGCUGACUAUGUGUACCCCAUCAACCCAGCUAUCCCUUUAGAGGAAGCUGCAGAUGAAUACCUGGGGAAAAUAAGAACUGUUUUUCCAGGAGAUGGCAUUCCCCGUUUCGAUGUCCUAGUGUUAGGCAUGGGUCCAGAUGGUCAUACCUGCUCACUGUUUCCUGACCAUCCAUUACUAAAGGAAGAUGAACAGCUGGUGGCACCAAUAGCAGAUUCCCCCAAACCUCCACCAGGCCGCAUUACUUUGACAUUUCCUGUCAUCAAUAAUGCAUCGUGUGCAGUGUUUGCAUCUUGCGGUGCUGGUAAAGCAGACAUUGUUCAGAAAGUUCUUGAAGGCAGUGGAGACAACCCAUUGCCAGCGGCCAUGGUGCGUCCAACUCAGGGUGAAGUUGUUUGGUUUCUGGAUGUUGCUGCAGCUUCCAAAUUGAAGUCUCAACAUAAACUGUAACUAGUCGAAGGCACAGAGCAGCACUACUGGACCAAUAGAAGAUGUUAGAAAAAGGAAGUCCGACUGUGACAGAUCGAACCACCCCGGGUCCUGCUAGGCUGGAGAUUAAACACAACAGGAUAUUCCUGGCACCGCUCAAUCGUACUUGAGGCCAAGCAAAUCGACUAACAAGGUACCGGAACGUGAAAUGAAUUCAGCGUACGGGGUGGCCGGGACUGGCCGAGAGUGGACUACUCCUUCACUGGAGGAAUCUAGUCAGAACAAAAGAAGGAAUACAAAAAAAAUAAAAUAAAAAAAAAAAAAUAAAAAAUAAAAAUAAAAAUAUAAAAAAAA